RNAcentral lists this ribosomal RNA (292 nucleotides) under uncultured bacterium. Its description in RNAcentral is "partial 16S ribosomal RNA". It matches the Rfam family "Bacterial small subunit ribosomal RNA", at positions 505 to 796 of the family's 1533-position model. The record is from RNAcentral.
GUGUCAGCAGCCGCGGUAAGACAGAAGGUGCAAGCGUUACUCGGAAUUACUGGGCGUAAAGCGUCUGUAGGUUUUUUGUCACGUCUGGCAGUAAAUUGCGGGGCUCAACCCCGCAGGUCUGUUGGAUACGAGCGAAAUAGAGUCACUCAGAGGCAUCUGGAAUGUCAUGUGUAGGGGUAAAAUCCGUAGAUACAUGAUGGAACGCCAAAAGCGAAAGCAGGAUGCUAGGGGUGUACUGACACUCAGAGACGAAAGCGUGGGGAGCAAAGGGGAUUAGAUACCCUUGUAGUCC